RNAcentral lists this ribosomal RNA (318 nucleotides) under uncultured bacterium. Its description in RNAcentral is "bacterial SSU rRNA". It matches the Rfam family "Bacterial small subunit ribosomal RNA", at positions 28 to 334 of the family's 1533-position model. The record is from RNAcentral.
GAUGAACGCUGGCGGCGUGCUUAACACAUGCAAGUCGAACGAAGCGAGAACUAAAGCGCAAGCAGAGGUUCUUGACUGAGUGGCGGACGGGGGAGUAACGCGUGGAUAACCUGCCUUUCACAGGGGGAUAACAGCUGGAAACGGUUGCUAAUACCGCAUGAGUCUCUUUUGUCGCAUGACGGGAGAGGGAAAGAGAAAUCGGUGAGAGAUGGAUCCGCGUCCGAUUAGCUAGUUGGAGGGGUAACAGCCCACCAAGGCGACGAUCGGUAGCCGACCUGAGAGGGUGGACGGCCACAUUGGGACUGAGACACGGCCCAA